This 77-nucleotide non-coding RNA is filed under the name Achromatium sp. WMS1. RNAcentral's name for it is "SAH (S-adenosyl-L-homocysteine) riboswitch aptamer". It matches the Rfam family "SAH (S-adenosyl-L-homocysteine) riboswitch aptamer". RNAcentral also lists the same sequence under 1 other name. Lineage: Bacteria; Pseudomonadati; Pseudomonadota; Gammaproteobacteria; Thiotrichales; Thiotrichaceae. The record is from Rfam by way of RNAcentral.
AACUUCGAGGAACGCUGCAGCGGAAUAUCCGUCAGGCUCGAAGAUAACUACUUGCCACCUAACGGCGUUCACUCUUU